This 363-nucleotide long non-coding RNA is filed under the name Chinchilla lanigera (long-tailed chinchilla). Its description in RNAcentral is "lncRNA (ENSCLAG00000027120.1)". Lineage: Eukaryota; Metazoa; Chordata; Mammalia; Rodentia; Chinchillidae. The record is from RNAcentral.
CACACAUUCAUCUGUACGGGCCUGUGGACUGGAGCGUCUGUACAGAUAUAAUAAAAGAAGUGUUUGUCCUAUUCAUAAACAAAUGAAGAGAAAGGCAGUUCAGACCCGCCUUACCUAUCAGUCAACGAAGCUGGUGACCUCCAUCUGUGUGCAUGACUAACAUUCUCCCAGUGUGAUAAGCUGCAAACAAAAACCAGCCCCCAGUUCUUUAUCCUUCUUGUACCUCAGCCCCACGCAAUGCGAUACCCUCAAAGCAGGUAACCUGCUGCCCCACCCUUGGCAUCCAGCCGAUGGGGUGACUUCCUGUAACCAAUAAAAUGGGCAUAAGUGACACUGUGCCUGUCUUGAGCCUGAACUGUCUGA